UGUAUAUCUGCAUGUGUAUUAGUGUGUCUGUGCAUCUGCAUGUGUGUCAGUAUGUGUAUCAAAACUGACACACUGACACACAUGCAGAUACUGACACACAUACAGAUGUACAGACACACUAAUAUGCCUG
Non-coding RNA from Pelobates cultripes (western spadefoot toad), 130 nucleotides. NCBI's taxonomy places the organism in Eukaryota, Metazoa, Chordata, Amphibia, Anura, Pelobatidae. The record is from the annotation of a GenBank genome assembly.